Molecule: long non-coding RNA, 1667 nt
Filed under: Olea europaea subsp. europaea
Lineage: Eukaryota; Viridiplantae; Streptophyta; Magnoliopsida; Lamiales; Oleaceae
Source: RNAcentral
UAAAGAGAANAGUCUCUCCUAAAUAAUAUAAAUAAAGCAAAAUAAAAACAGUUGCCUUUAUCUGAAAACAAAAGAACAUCCAAAAAAGAGAAAGAAAUGCAGAUUAUCUGCUAUUCAGAUUAGACAGUCAAUUCCUAUCAAGGAACACAUACAGUUUAUUUGCAGCUAAACAAAUAUCUCCAAACUUAUUUCCACAAAACAGACGGAAAUAAAAAAAUAAAAAAUAAAAAGCGAAAAAGAAGUCUCUUUAGUGCAUGUUUACAAAAUAUUCUGUGCAUAAAAAAAACCCCUUAAUUAGGCUGAACUAAAAUUAACCCCUAACAUUAAACUUACCUAUAUAACAGCUUGAUGACAGAAAAUUAUUGAGGUAAACUUUAGAUCAAGAAAUUAAUAAUUUUUUGACGUUUUCACCCUUAGUUUCACCUUUGGUUGCGCAAAUCCUCCUUCAGUCCAUUUCUUAUCAAUUACUCCACUAAAUGAACCUUUAUAUGUAAUUUCUAAUAAAAAGGAGGGUAAAAUCAUCUUCGUAUAAUUGUAAUAAUAUGCACACUACAAUCCCCUUCCAUCGUUGGGUUCCCAUCUCUACUGUUUCAACUAGUACCGGAAUCUCGCCUUCCUCUACCAGUGCUACCUUGACUUCCAAAGUUGCUACCAAUAGGCUCAAAACAAAAUUCGAUCUUUCUACAGAUAUGGUCAUUGUUGGCAUACCUUCCAAGGAGUUCUACCCCAAGGACUCAUAUUUCUGUCAAUAGUGCUUAUGAAAUAGUAAUCUAAUAUAACUAUUUCAUAGUUGGCUUGAACUUGUCGUCGAACUUAAUUCUUUAUUAAAAUCCCCACCAUAAGGCUUGAGAUAAUUACUUCACAUUAGGCUCGAACUAGUCGUUGAGCUUUAUUCUUUGUUAAAAUCACAACUAUAGGGUUCGGGAUAAUUAUUUCACAUUAGGCUCGAACUUCUUGUUGAGUUUAAUUCUUUAUUAAAAUCACAGCCAUAGGGCUCAGGAUAAUUAUUUCAUGUUAGGCUCAAACUUGUCGUCAAGCUUAAUUCUUUGUUAAAAUCCCAGCCAUAAGGUUUGGAAUAAUUAUUUCGCAUUAGGUUCGAAUUUGUCGUCGAGCUUAAAAUCCAAUUAAAAUCUCAAUCAUAGGGCUCAGGAUAAUUAUCUCACAUUAGGUUUGACCUUGUGGUCGAGCUUUAUUCUUUGUUAAAAUCCCAGCCUUAGAGCUCGGGAUAAUUAAUUCGCAUUAGACUUGUUCCCGUCAUCGACCCUACUCUUUCAUUAGGCUCAGACUUGUCCUCAAGCUUAAUUCUUCACAUUAAGAUCCGUUCCUAUCGUCGAAGGCCAAGGCCUCUUAAAAAUCCAGCCUCAGAGCUUAGAUCCACGCAUAUGACUUUUAGCUCGAACCUCUCGCUGAUCUUAUUUUUUAUUCUAUAACUAGUCAAGCAUAAUAAACCAUCGUCUAGAUAAACAUAAAUACAAAAUGUUAACAGGUUGUGCAUACCAGUGCUCAUUCAUUCAAAAAUAUAUAAAGGCCACACAAUGGAUAGGCAACAUACUUGGAAGUCGAAAUAAUCUUUACAUCAUAAAAAAGAUCUCGGGGGUAUAGAGCUUGGGAUGGGGAGUCAUAAUCUAAAUCUUCAUGCUCAAGGGCUGGCCCCUAACGUCAACCUC